Molecule: ribosomal RNA, 253 nt
Filed under: uncultured bacterium
Lineage: Bacteria
Description: partial 16S ribosomal RNA
Rfam family: Bacterial small subunit ribosomal RNA
Source: RNAcentral
UACGGAGGGUGCAAACGUUGCUCGGAAUCAUUGGGCGUAAAGCGCAUGUAGGCGGUCGGCUAUGUCGGAUGUGAAAGCCUCGGGCUUAACCCGAGAAGUGCAUCCGAAACUGGCCGGCUUGAGUACGGAAGAGGGUCUCGGAAUUCCCGGUGUAGAGGUGAAAUUCGUAGAUAUCGGGAGGAACACCAGUGGCGAAGGCGGAGACCUGGGCCGAUACUGACGCUGAGGCACGAAGGUCAGGGGAGCAAACGGG